CCUACGGGAGGCAGCAGUGAGGAAUAUUGGUCAAUGGGCGGAAGCCUGAACCAGCCAAGUCGCGUGAGGGAUUAAGGCCCUGCGGGUCGUAAACCUCUGUUGCCGGGGAGCAGAGGUCCGGACGUGUCCGGGCCGGGAGAGUACCCGGAGAAAAAGCAUCGGCUAACUCCGUGCCAGCAGCCGCGGUAAUACGGAGGAUGCGAGCGUUAUCCGGAUUUAUUGGGUUUAAAGGGUGCGUAGGCGGGCAUUUAAGCCGGCGGUCAAAUGUCGGGGCUCAACCCCGGCCUGCCGUCGGAACUGGGUGCCUUGAGUGGGCGAGAAGUAUGCGGAAGGCGUGGUGUAGCGGUGAAAUGCAUAGAUAUCACGCAGAACCCCGAUUGCGAAGGCAGCAUACCGGCGCCCGACUGACGCUGAGGCACGAAAGUGCGGGUAUCGAACAGGAUUAGAUACCCCAGUAGUC
This 460-nucleotide ribosomal RNA is filed under the name uncultured bacterium. RNAcentral describes it as "partial 16S ribosomal RNA". It matches the Rfam family "Bacterial small subunit ribosomal RNA", at positions 338 to 795 of the family's 1533-position model. The record is from RNAcentral.